This 307-nucleotide long non-coding RNA is filed under the name Nicotiana benthamiana. RNAcentral's name for it is "long non-coding RNA (NBEN_LNC016238)". The record is from RNAcentral. Lineage: Eukaryota; Viridiplantae; Streptophyta; Magnoliopsida; Solanales; Solanaceae.
GUGUAGAUUGAUUAAUUUUAAAAUAUAAGAUGACUGUGGAUGUUAGUCUUCCAUGCGUUUAACACCGGCCCAAAGGAAGGUGUUAUUUGGUAGGAAUUCGAACAUGCUUGUGGUGGUAAAUAUGAGACAAUUAUUUGGUUUUCCAUGUGAAUAUUAAAUCGGCCCAAAGGAAGGUUAGAUAUUUGACAGGAGUUUACUGUCUAUGUUUGAUCACUACACCAAGAGUACGACUUACAAGUUGUUUAUCUGUCCAAAGACUAAAAUCAAUGUUGUGCUAGGUAUCUUGUAAUGGGAUAUGCCUAUUUUG